UACGUAGGGGGCAAGCGUUGUCCGGAUUUAUUGGGCGUAAAGCGCGCGCAGGCGGUUCUUUAAGUCUGGUGUCUAAGUGCGGGGCUCAACCCCGUGAUGCACUGGAAACUGGGGAACUUGAGUGCAGAAGAGGAGAGCGGAAUUCCACGUGUAGCGGUGAAAUGCGUAGAGAUGUGGAGGAACACCAGUGGCGAAGGCGGAUCUCUGGGCCUUACCUGACGCUCAGGUGCGAAAGCUAGGGGAGCGAACAGG
This 252-nucleotide ribosomal RNA is filed under the name uncultured bacterium. RNAcentral describes it as "partial 16S ribosomal RNA". It matches the Rfam family "Bacterial small subunit ribosomal RNA", at positions 524 to 776 of the family's 1533-position model. The record is from RNAcentral.